GAUGAACGCUGGCGGCGUGCCUAAUACAUGCAAGUCGAGCGAACGGACGAGAAGCUUGCUUCUCUGAUGUUAGCGGCGGACGGGUGAGUAACACGUGGAUAACCUACCUAUAAGACUGGGAUAACUUCGGGAAACCGGAGCUAAUACCGGAUAAUAUUUUGAACCGCAUGGUUCAAAAGUGAAAGACGGUCUUGCUGUCACUUAUAGAUGGAUCCGCGCUGCAUUAGCUAGUUGGUAAGGUAACGGCUUACCAAGGCAACGAUGCAUAGCCGACCUGAGAGGGUGAUCGGCCACACUGGAACUGAGACACGGUCCAGACUCCUACGGGAGGCAGCAGUAGGGAAUCUUCCGCAAUGGGCGAAAGCCUGACGGAGCAACGCCGCGUGAGUGAUGAAGGUCUUCGGAUCGUAAAACUCUGUUAUUAGGGAAGAACAUAUGUGUAAGUAACUGUGCACAUCUUGACGGUACCUAAUCAGAAAGCCACGGCUAACUACGUGCCAGCAGCCGCGGUAAUACGUAGGUGGCAAGCGUUAUCCGGAAUUAUUGGGCGUAAAGCGCGCGUAGGCGGUUUUUUAAGUCUGAUGUGAAAGCCCACGGCUCAACCCGUGGAGGGUCAUUGGAAACUGGAAAACUUGAGUGCAGAAGAGGAAAGUGGAAUUCCAUGUGUAGCGGUGAAAUGCGCAGAGAUAUGGAGGAACACCAGUGGCGAAGGCGACUUUCUGGUCUGUAACUGACGCUGAUGUGCGAAAGCGUGGGGAUCAAACAGGAUUAGAUACCCUGGUAGUCCACGCCGUAAACGAUGAGUGCUAAGUGUUAGGGGGUUUCCGCCCCUUAGUGCUGCAGCUAACGCAUUAAGCACUCCGCCUGGGGAGUACGACCGCAAGGUUGAAGCUCAAAGGAAUUGACGGGGACCCGCACAAGCGGUGGAGCAUGUGGUUUAAUUCGAAGCAACGCGAAGAACCUUACCAAAUCUUGACAUCCUUUGACAACUCUAGAGAUAGAGCCUUCCCCUUCGGGGGACAAAGUGACAGGUGGUGCAUGGUUGUCGUCAGCUCGUGUCGUGAGAUGUUGGGUUAAGUCCCGCAACGAGCGCAACCCUUAAGCUUAGUUGCCAUCAUUAAGUUGGGCACUCUAAGUUGACUGCCGGUGACAAACCGGAGGAAGGUGGGGAUGACGUCAAAUCAUCAUGCCCCUUAUGAUUUGGGCUACACACGUGCUACAAUGGACAAUACAAAGGGCAGCGAAACCGCGAGGUCAAGCAAAUCCCAUAAAGUUGUUCUCAGUUCGGAUUGUAGUCUGCAACUCGACUACAUGAAGCUGGAAUCGCUAGUAAUCGUAGAUCAGCAUGCUACGGUGAAUACGUUCCCGGGUCU
Molecule: ribosomal RNA, 1373 nt
Filed under: uncultured bacterium
Lineage: Bacteria
Description: bacterial SSU rRNA
Rfam family: Bacterial small subunit ribosomal RNA
Source: RNAcentral